GACGAACGCUGGCGGCGUGCUUAACACAUGCAAGUCGAACGGAAAGGCCCUGCUUUUGUGGGGUGCUCGAGUGGCGAACGGGUGAGUAACACGUGAGUAACCUGCCCUUGACUUUGGGAUAACUUCAGGAAACUGGGGCUAAUACCGGAUAGGAGCUCCUGCUGGAGGGGGGGGGUUGGAAAGUUUCGGCGGUUGGGGAUGGACUCGCGGCUUAUCAGCUUGUUGGUGGGGUAGGGGCUGCCCAAGGCUUUGACGGGUAGCCGGCCUGGGAGGGUGACCGGCCACAUUGGUCCUGAGAUACGGCCCAGCCUCCUACGGGAGGCAGCAGUGGGGAAUAUUGCACAAUGGGCGGAAGCCUGAUGCAGCAACGCCGCGUGCGGGAUGACGGCCUUCGGGUUGUAAACCGCUUUCGCCUUUGACGAAGCGUGAGUGACGGUAAUGGGUAAAGAAGCACCGGCUAACUACGUG
RNAcentral lists this ribosomal RNA (468 nucleotides) under uncultured bacterium. RNAcentral's name for it is "partial 16S ribosomal RNA". It matches the Rfam family "Bacterial small subunit ribosomal RNA", at positions 28 to 507 of the family's 1533-position model. The record is from RNAcentral.